GAUGAACGCUAGCGACAGGCCUAACACAUGCAAGUCGAGGGGUAACAUUAUUAAAGCUUGCUUUAAUAGAUGACGACCGGCGCACGGGUGCGUAACGCGUAUGCAACCUACCCAUUACAGGAGGAUAGCCCAGAGAAAUUUGGAUUAAUACUCCAUAGUAUUUACUGAAAGCAUUUUUAGUAUUUUAAAAGAUUCGUCUGGUAAUGGAUGGGCAUGCGUAUGAUUAGUUAGUUGGUAGGGUAACGGCCUACCAAGACGACGAUCAUUAGGGGUUCUGAGAGGAUAGUCCCCCACACUGGUACUGAGACACGGACCAGACUCCUACGGGAGGCAGCAGUGAGGAAUAUUGGUCAAUGGGCGAGAGCCUGAACCAGCCAAGUCGCGUGCAGGAAGACUGCCCUAUGGGUUGUAAACUGCUUUUAUAUAGGAAUAAUUGUUUUUACGUGUAAGAAUUUGAAUGUACUAUAUGAAUAAGCACCGGCUAACUCCGUGCCAGCAGCCGCGGUAAUACGGAGGGUGCAAGCGUUAUCCGGAUUUAUUGGGUUUAAAGGGUGCGUAGGCGGGUUCAUAAGUCAGUGGUGAAAGUCUGUCGCUUAACGAUAGAAUUGCCAUUGAAACUGUGGAUCUUGAAUACAGUAGAGGUAGGCGGAAUAUAUUGUGUAGCGGUGAAAUGCAUAGAUACGAUAUAGAACACCUAUUGCGAAGGCAGCUUACUAUGCUGUAAUUGACGCUGAUGCACGAAAGCGUGGGGAGCGAACAGG
Molecule: ribosomal RNA, 761 nt
Filed under: uncultured bacterium
Lineage: Bacteria
Description: bacterial SSU rRNA
Rfam family: Bacterial small subunit ribosomal RNA
Source: RNAcentral